CUACGGGGGGCUGCAGUUUCGAAUAAUUCACAAUGGGCGCAAGCCUGAUGAUGCGACGUUACGUGAAGGAAGAAAGCUUUAAGUUGUAAACUUCUGUCGUUAAGGAACAAAAAAUUAAGUAGUACUUUUUAUAUUGAGUUAACUUAAAAAGGAAGCAGUGGCUAAUUUUGUGCCAGCAGCCGCGGUAAUACGGGAACUGCAAGCGUUGCUCGGUUUUAUUGGGCGUAAAGAGUACGUAGGCUGUUAUACAUGUUAAUUGUUAAAUUUUAAAGUUAAUCUUUAAAUUUGCUGUUAAAACUAUAUAACUAGAAUUUCAAAGAGGUAAGUGGAAUUUCAAGUGUAGCGGUGAAAUGCGUAGAUAUUUGAAGGAACACCAAUGGCGAAAGCAACUUACUGGGUGAUAAUUGACGCUAAAGUACGAAAGUAUAGGGAGCAAAAGGGAUUAGAUACCCGCGUAGUC
This 460-nucleotide ribosomal RNA is filed under the name uncultured bacterium. Its description in RNAcentral is "partial 16S ribosomal RNA". It matches the Rfam family "Bacterial small subunit ribosomal RNA", at positions 339 to 795 of the family's 1533-position model. The record is from RNAcentral.